UACGUAGGUGGCAAGCGAUACUCGGAAUCACUAGGCGUAAAGCGCAGGUAGGCGGUUUGGAAAGUCUCUUUGAAAGCUCCCGGCUCAACUGGGAGAGGCCAAGGGAAACUACCAGGCUAGAGUGCGGUAGAGGUAGCUGGAAUUCCCGGUGUAGCGGUGAAAUGCGUAGAUAUCGGGAGGAAUACCUAUGGCGAAAGCAGGCUACUGGACCGUCACUGACUCUGAUCUGCGAAAGCUAGGGGAGCAAACAGG
Molecule: ribosomal RNA, 252 nt
Filed under: uncultured bacterium
Lineage: Bacteria
Description: partial 16S ribosomal RNA
Rfam family: Bacterial small subunit ribosomal RNA
Source: RNAcentral